GAUUGGAAGGGAUGUAUUUAUUAGAUUAAAAGCCAACGCCCUUCGGGGCUCUUUGGUGAUUCAUAAUAACUGGUCGAAUCGCAUGGCCUUGCGCCGGCGAUGGUUCAUUCAAAUUUCUUCCCUAUCAACUUUCGAUGCGAGGGUCUUGUCCUCGCAUGGUUGCAACGGGUAACGGAGGGUUAGGGCUCGACCCCGGAGAAGGAGCCUGAGAAACGGCAACUACAUCCAAGGAAGGCAGCAGGCGCGCAAAUUACCCAAUCCCGACACGGGGAGGUAGUGACAAUAAAUACUGAUACAGGGCUCUUUUGGGUCUUGUAAUCGGAAUGAGUACAAUUUAAAUCCCUUAACGAGGAACAAUUGGAGGGCAAGUCUGGUGCCAGCAAAUCGUCGA
This 391-nucleotide ribosomal RNA is filed under the name uncultured Doratomyces. RNAcentral describes it as "SSU rRNA". It matches the Rfam family "Eukaryotic small subunit ribosomal RNA", at positions 190 to 580 of the family's 1831-position model. Lineage: Eukaryota; Fungi; Ascomycota; Sordariomycetes; Microascales. The record is from RNAcentral.